GCGUUCUUCCGGGGCAAACUGAAACAAACUGUGACGAGUAGAUCAUUCGCUCACUUUUCAUGUAGCCAAAAAGAGGCGCCAUACAAGCAGGCAGGGCGGAAGUUAGAGCGAGCCGGCCAUAACGUAACAUUUGUGACGUCGUUGAUUAUUCCGCCCGGGUUGCCCUCACGCUGUCUGUCGGCUGGAGCGCCAUUAGCGGCGACCGCUCUUCACCAUUAGUCACUAUUAGUCUGUUCUGGUCACCAGCUGACUUGAACGGCUGAAUCCUGGGCUUCAUAAGAUGGAGAAGAGGAGGUCAGACUGUCCUGCUCUGCCGCCCGGCUGGAAGAAGGAAGAAGUGAUCAGGAAGUCCGGUUUGAGUGCCGGGAAGAGCGACGUUUAUUACUACAGUCCCACAGGGAAAAAGUUCAGGAGUAAACCUCAAUUGGCCCGUUACCUUGGAAACUCAGUGGAUUUGGCAUGUUUCGAUUUCCGGACAGGGAAGAUGAUGCCCGGCAAACUGCAGAAGAACAAACAGAGACUGCGACAUGACCUGCUCAGCUUGGCCAAGGGCGGAAAGCCUGAUCUGAACACGACCCUGCCCAUCAGACAGACGGCAUCAAUCUUUAAACAGCCUGUUACCAAGGUUACAAGUCACCCGGAAAACAAGGUAAAGACUGACCUGCAGAGAGCAACCGAACAGCCCACACAGCUGUUUUGGGAGAGGAGGUUGAAAGGUUUGCAAUCAUCAGAUGUCUCAGAAAAAGUUCUGCGUACUAUGGACCUACCCAAAGGUCUACAGAGUGUCGGUCUGGACUCGAGUGAUGACACUCUGUUGCGUGCCAUCGCCAGUGCUCUGCACAUGGGCUCAUCCCCUGUCACAGGACAAACAUCUAUGGCAGCUGAGAAGAACCCAGCAAUCUGGCUGAACACGUCCCAGCCCCUCUGCAAGGCCUUUACCGUGACUGAUGAACAAAUACGAGAGCAGGAGCUCAAGGUCCAUCAAGCACGGAGGAGUUUGGAGGAGGCGCUGAUGGCCGAUGGCUUGGCGCGGGCUGCUGAAAACACCCGAGAAAUGCAGGACGGGAUGACGGCUUAAAGACAUAAAAGUGAGACAGUUGCGGAGAGAUCACCCAACAGACAGAGUGAGGGGGAGAUGGGAAUAGGAAUCUCUAAGGCUAAUGACAGGUUCUCGCACACUCCACGCCAGAAGUUAUUCACCCGCGCACAGGACCACAUUGAGUAGUUGUUCUGUUCACCAACCUCAGGUUAAUCUUCAUCUGGACCCCUAAGCAAACAAAAAAUAUUUAAUGAUCAUCUUUUUAAUUCUGCAACUUUCCCGUUAAUGAAUCAUUUCCUGGACGUCCUACGAUAAAAGUUCACCAGCAGAGACAAGUAACGACAGAAUACAUAAGUCUGUUUUAAAAAUGUUGUGCUGUAUUUGUUUUUACGUUUUUGUUGAUCGCUCACAAGGAGCAUGCAAUAUCUAAAUAUAUCUAAUAUGUCAUCUAAAAUUGCAAACUGCUGGACGGCUUUUGCUAACAAAUAUUUGUUUCUUUUUUUAUUCCGCUAAAAUCAGGGUUCUACAUCAAUAAGAAAUGAAAUAGAGUAGUCUUAUUUAAUGCACAUUUUAUAUGUUGACAGUCGUGUACAUGUUUUGGG
Nerophis lumbriciformis (worm pipefish) is the source of this 1641-nucleotide RNA transcript. It is a transcript of the gene named methyl-CpG binding domain protein 2, with no coding region annotated. NCBI's taxonomy places the organism in Eukaryota, Metazoa, Chordata, Actinopteri, Syngnathiformes, Syngnathidae. The record is from RefSeq and is a predicted model, not a curated record.